AAAUUCUUAAAGAGACAGGCGCCCGCUCCGGCCGGCACCAUGGACAGCGAGGCAUUCCAGAGCGCGCGGGACUUUCUGGACAUGAACUUCCAGUCGCUGGCCAUGAAACACAUGGAUCUGAAGCAGAUGGAGCUGGACACGGCGGCGGCCAAGGUGGAUGAACUGACCAAGCAGCUGGAGUCGCUGUGGUCAGACUCUCCUGCGCCUCCUGGCCCGCAGGCCGGACCCCCUUCUAGGCCGCCCCGGUACAGCUCCAGCUCGAUCCCUGAGCCCUUCAGCAGCCGAGGGUCCCCCCGGAAGGCGGCCACCGACGGCGCAGACACCCCGUUCGGACGAUCAGAGAGUGCCCCAACCCUGCACCCCUACAGCCCGCUGUCCCCCAAGGGCCGGCCGUCGUCGCCACGCACCCCGCUCUACCUGCAGCCGGACGCCUACGGCAGCCUGGACCGCGCGACCUCGCCCCGGCCCCGCGCCUUCGAUGGCGCAGGCAGCUGCCUCGGCCGUGCGCCCUCCCCGCGGCCCGGGCCAGGCCCGCUCCGCCAGCAGGGUCCCCCCACGCCUUUCGACUUCCUGGGCCGCGCAGGCUCCCCCCGCGGCAGCCCCCUGGCGGAGGGGCCCCAGGCCUUCUUCCCCGAGCGCGGGCCGUCACCGCGCCCCCCUGCCACAGCCUACGACGCGCCGGCGUCCGCCUUCGGGAGCUCCCUGCUAGGCUCGGGCGGUAGCGCCUUUGCCCCGCCUCUGCGUGCGCAAGACGACCUGACGCUGCGCCGGCGGCCCCCAAAAGCCUGGAACGAGUCUGACCUGGACGUGGCGUACGAGAAGAAGCCUUCGCAGACAGCGAGCUAUGAACGUAAGUGGUGGAGGCCCGGGGAAUGCACGACCCGGAGGAGAGGCAGCCCCACAGACCCUAACGAUUCCCGCCCCGCAGGCCUGGACGUCUUCGCGCGGCCUGCCUCGCCGAGCCUUCAGCUGUUGCCUUGGAGGGAGAGCAGCCUGGAUGGACUGGGGGGCACCGGCAAGGACAACCUCACCAGCGCCACCCUGCCGCGCAAUUACAAGGUCUCUCCUCUGGCCGGCGACCGGCGUUCAGAAGCCGGCAGCUACCGGCGCUCGCUGGGCUCCGCGGGGCCGUCAGGCACUUUGCCUCGCAGCUGGCAGCCCGUCAGCCGCAUCCCCAUGCCCCCCUCCAGCCCCCAGCCCCGCGGGGCCCCGCGCCAGCGUCCCAUCCCCCUCAGCAUGAUCUUCAAGCUGCAGAACGCCUUCUGGGAGCACGGGGCCAGCCGCGCCAUGCUCCCUGGGUCCCCCCUCUUCACCCGAGCACCCCCGCCCAAGCUGCAGCCCCAACCACAACCACAGCCCCAGCCACAACCACAACCACAGCCCCAGCUGCCCCCACAGCCCCAGCCCCAACCCCAAACCCCUACCCCAGCCCCUCAGCCUCCCCAACAGACAUGGCCCCCUGUGAACGAAGGUGAGUCAGCAAUGAGGGCCCUAGAGGACUGGGUGAAGGGAGGACAAAUGGCAAGGGGACCAGACCAGCUCUGGGGAGGUGGGGAGAUCAUAGCCAAAUGCCUCUUUACAAGCACUGUCCCUGCAGAGAGCUAGCCCAGGUGAGUUUGGGAAUUUGGGUAGGAGCCAGGGAUAGCUCAAAGGUUAAGUGUGGACCCUGAAGCCAGACUGCCCGGUUCCACACUAUGUGACCUUGGGCAAGUCACUUAACCUCACUGGGCCUCAAUUUUCUUGAGUGUAAAAGGGAAAUAAUGGGCUGGGCACGGUGGCUCAUGCCUGUAAUCCCAGCACUUUGGUGGGCUAAUGCAGAUAGGAUUGCUUGAGCUCUGGAGUUCAAGACCAGCCUGGGCAACAUAGUGAAACUAAAAUAGCCUUUACUAAAAAUAAAAGUACAAAAAAUCUGCCGAGCAUGGUAGUGGGCGCCUGUAGUACUAGCUACUCAGGAUGCUGAGGUGGGAGGAUCGUUUGAGCUUGGGAGACCUAGGCUGCAGUGAGCUGUGAUAGCGCCACUGCACUCCAGCCUGGGUGACAGAG
This 2043-nucleotide small RNA is filed under the name Pongo abelii (Sumatran orangutan). RNAcentral's name for it is "retained intron". The record is from RNAcentral. Lineage: Eukaryota; Metazoa; Chordata; Mammalia; Primates; Hominidae.